CUGUGAAGACGGAGGAGCACCACCGCUGUUGAAGACCAUCUCAUCUGAUCGGCUAUUCCGACCUCGAUCUUUCCAUCUCCGAUUUCGGUUUUCUCGGCUAAGCGCCUAUUGCGUGGAGGGUCGUCGUUGCCGGCGGCCAUUUAAGGUCGUUUCUGGCCGGCGGCGGCUAUUCCGAGGAAGCCCGUUGUUGCCAGUGGCUAUUUGAGGCUGUUUCUGGCGGCGGCGGAUAUUUCGGGGAAGCCCGUUGUUGUCGGCGGCCGGUUUGAGUCUGUUUCUGGCGGAGUCGGCCUUCAGAUUUCUCGAAGAUUGCUGAAAUAAGGAGUCAUUUGUUGACAUGGAAGGAGUUGUUAUGGUUUCUCUUGAGGCUAUUAAAGGCGCCCCAGCAGUUACUCCUAAAUCAAGAACUUGUCUGGCAUUGGAUAGAAUGAAGGAAUUAAUGCUGGAUUAGUUGAUCUCACAACAUUGCAAAACUUGUUAAAUUCAAGUAGUGACGAAGAUUCACCAUGAGGCUGCAACUGUGCUUCCUAUAUAUGUUGAGGAUCCUGCCAGAAGUGAAGUUGAAAUUGAGAUGGCUUUGGAUGUAUAAUGUUAGGAUUUUGAAUUUAGUAUUCAGAAAUAUUAACUUUUAUAGUAGAUUUUAGCAACUGAAGAAGCAUGGUCCGUGCGGGUCAGUACUUCUACGGUGAUGAACGAUCACACCUCGUCCUCUCCACUUCAUCCUAACCUGUAAACAAGAAGAGAGAAGCGUGGGCAAUGUAGAGACUACCGGUAGAGGAAGAAUCCCCUAUUUCCAGCUACAAAAGUGAUGCCCUAUAUCUCAUGCCCUAAUAAGGAGGUGGAGGCCUCCUUAUAUAGGAGAUAUGGGAAAAACCCUAACCUCAAUGGGCCAAGCCCAGUUAGGGGUUGUCUCUACGAGCCCACAGCCUAGUGUAGCAUAAACUACAACGCGCUGGGCUUCGCGGGUUAGUACACAAUAAUAACAAUAAUAAU
This 990-nucleotide long non-coding RNA is filed under the name Helianthus annuus (common sunflower). The record is from RNAcentral. Lineage: Eukaryota; Viridiplantae; Streptophyta; Magnoliopsida; Asterales; Asteraceae.